This 300-nucleotide ribosomal RNA is filed under the name uncultured Howardella sp. RNAcentral describes it as "bacterial SSU rRNA". It matches the Rfam family "Bacterial small subunit ribosomal RNA", at positions 496 to 795 of the family's 1533-position model. Lineage: Bacteria; Bacillati; Bacillota; Clostridia; Eubacteriales. The record is from RNAcentral.
UAUAGUUGCGGGCCAGAGGCGGAGGUAGGACGUGUGGUGGGAGGGUGGGCAGGAAUUGCUGGGCGUAAAGAGCUCGUGGGCGGGUUGUGACGUCGGCGGUGAAAUCCUAGGGCUUAACCCUGGACGUGCAGGCGAUACGGGCUGACUUGAGUACUACAGGGGAGACUGGAAUUUCUGGUGUAGCGGUGGAAUGCACAGAUAUUAGGAAGAACACCGAUGGCGAAGGCAGGUCUCUGGGUAGUAACUGACGCUGAGGAGCGAAAGCAUGGGUAGCGAACAGGAUUAGAUACCCCUGUAGUC